UGUCACGGUUCUGUAGACUGUACAGGAAGCAUGGCAGCAUCUGCUUCUGGGGAGGUCUCAGGGAGAUUUUACUGGUAGCAGAAGGCAAAGCAGGAGCAGGUGUCUUACAUGCCUGGAGCAGGAGGAAGAGACGGGGAGGUGCCACACACUUUUAAACAAUCAGAUCUCACUAUAACUCACUCAUUGUCACAGGAACAGCAUGAGGAAAUGGUGCCAAACCAAUCAUGAGGGACCGCCCCCAUGGUCCAGUCACCUCUCACCAGUCCCUACCUCCAUCACUGGGGAUUACAUCUCAACAUGAGAUUUGCUGGGGACACAGAUCCAAACCAUAUUAUCCCUUUUUUUUCUAAAAUUUUGUCUUCCAUGCUCCUUUUUAGACACAUGGGGAGCAUGUGUUCCUGUCUUGGGGUCUUUGCAUUUGCUGUUUUUUCUUACUGGAACCUUUUUCUUCAUACUUACACCAGGCCAUUCCAUCUGCUUUGUAUCUUUGUUAGGUAUCACGCUUUCAGUGACCCCUUUCCUGCCAACUGUAUUUAAAAUUGUACCCACUCCCCUUCCCUGUACUUCCCAUCCCUUUCCUGACUUAGUUUUCUCUGUUGCACUUAUUACUCUCAGAAAUAUUAUAUAUUUACCUAUCUAUCUGGUUUGGUAUAAGCUGAGCAUCCAUAAUCUGAAAAGCUGAAAUCCAGAAUGCUCCAAAAUUUGAAACUUUUUGAGGACUGACAUGAUGCUCGAAGGAGAUGCUCAUUAGAGCAUUUUCGAUUUCAGACAUUUGGAUUAGGGAUGUUCAACUAGUAAGUAUAUAGUGCAAAUUUCCAAAAUCUGAAAACAAUGGAAAUCCAAAACAUUUCUGCUCCCAAGCAUUUUGGAUAAGGGAUAUUCAACCUGUACUGAUAUGUCCUACUAGUAUAUGACUCAAUAAGGGAAAGGAUUUUGUCUCCCCAAUGCCACUGUCAUAUUUCUACUUUCUAAAACAGGGAUGUACAAUCAAUAUUUGUUGAAUAAAAUAACUGAAUUAUUAUCAUUUUCAAAGUUUUAUUGUUAUUAUUUCUUAAUUGUUACAGUCAUGGGCCAUAUAACAUUUUUGUCAAAGACAAAAAGUAGGAAGGUGGCAGCUCCUGAUGGCUUUUGUGGGCUUCAGGGAAGCUUCCAGAGCACACCUGAGGAGACCAGAGUUGAGGAUCUUCCAUUCAAAUAAAUAAUAUUUUUUGUGACCAAUUCCCUACCAUCAGUUCUUAACUCUGAUGCUCACAUAAUCGUCUUGUAAGAAGAAAUGGUUUCUCCGGGUCUUACUGCUUGUUUUGAGCUGUUUGACAUCUGACUGGCACAUUGGUGCCUGGUGUUAGGUUAACAAGCAGUUCAUAAGACCAUUCCUGUCAGUGACGGUUUUGCCUGAUUUCCUCACUGAGUAACUAGAAGAGAUGCUUUUGCAAAGUAUUCCAGGUCUUGGCUAGUUCUCCACAUUCUCUUAGAAAUGAGGUCAAAGAAAACAUUUGGACAGAUUCUUGAAGUUCUUUAUAGCAGAAUUUGGUGUGUUUUGAAUUAUUUAAUAGGAUGAGGGCCAAAGAAAGCUUUGUACUCUCAAGUUCUAUUUUCAAAGAAUCUGGGGAGUGAGUCUUUAGUUCCUUUUCUAUAUCCUAGGAAAUCAAGUGGAAAUUCUUCUUCAAGUCUUGGAGAAAUGGUAUCUGGGACAUUUCGAGCAACUCCCACAUCAACAGGUGAGGGUUGUAGUUAAACUCUUUUUCAUAGACUGUAUUCCUUUUAAAAAUAUUUGAACACACAUGCAAGUAUGUUUGCUAAUUUGGAAACAAUUUGAAGGCUUAAUUUAAAGAUUUCUCUAAUAUUUCAUUUCUCAUUUGUUUUCUAUGGUAAUUUGAUUUCAUUUAAAAUGGUACUAAAAGUUCACGUCAUUAGAAUAUAAUUUUGAAAAAUCUUAUUUACCCCCCAGAGUUAAAAACUGUCCAUUGUGUAAAUUGAUAUUCAAAAAAUUCAUAUUUUACCUAAGAAACGGACAGAGUUUAAGAUGGUGAGGGCCAAUAAAAAAAGGAAAAAAAUGAUGCAGACUCUCAAGAAAAUGCUCUGUUUUCAGUCUCCAUGUGGAACUUCAGGAAGUAUUAGUACAGCCUGAGCUGGGAGGGUUGAAGCAGAGAGUAAGGCAGGGCCCAAAUGAGGGAGGGUGUCAUUUACAUUUGGACAGCAGACAGCCAAGCCCUGAAAUUAAUGGUAAUGAAGAGAUAGUGGUGGCCUAGUAGGGAGUUGUGGUGCAUUUGGAAACUAUGGAGGUAUUCCUGUAGGAAUUUUUCUUCUACCACAUUCCCUGAUUCCUAUAGGCUAAUUUCAUUCUGGCCUACAAUUGCUGUUUCAUUAGGGCAUCCAGUGCCCUAGUUACCAAUUCCAAUUGUAUUACCAAUUUGGAAUGGCAAGUCCAAGGCCCUAUCCUGGCCUACCAAAACUGGAGGCAACUGGAUUGGUUCUGGAAUGGUUCUAAGUGUCUGGGUGGUUGUUCAUGUGAAGCCCUCUGAUCUACGGGACACUGAACCAAACCAGGUUUCUGAGUUGUACCCAACUAGACUGGAGCUGCUUGGAUGUCCACAGAAUUGCUUUAAAUCAGUUAUUGAGUGUAUUUUGCUUCGUUCCCAUUUGUUGGACAUUCAGGACAUUGAACACUUUAGCUAUUACAAACAGGAAAGAACAGCAAUAACUGGUUAUAAAUUUAUCUGAGGAAUAACUGGUUAUAAAUAUAUUUGAAAUUUAAAAGCAAGAUAGUAGGAAAAAUGUGCUAAUAUUCUAGAAAAUGGGCAAAAAUGCCCAAGGGACUGCAGAAUUAUGAGUUAACAAAUAUAAAAAUAACUAGUGAUUGAGGUGAUAGUCAUUUUUGCCCAAGUGGUUAUUCUGUUUCCUUUUAUGAAAUUGCAUUUGUCUACCUUGUUCCCAGCAACACUGUGCUAUGUCCAGCACAGGAACAACCCAUGGUGAAUGGCUGGCCCGGAACUUCCAGUGUUGCUCUCAACUCCUGUACCGAACUCCCACCCAGUGAGAAAUCAGGAUAUAAGAUCAUUUGUACCAGGGAGGAAGCUGUCUGUUUUUCAUACAUCUUCAAAAUUGACAUGUCCAGAAUGAAAUCAUAAGGCAGGUUCUCCAAAGUGGGUGAUAGGAAAGUGGUGAAGAUAAUUACAGGGACAAAUGGGUACAUUCUUCCAUCUUUUAAACUCAUGUACUGUCAUUUGCAGAGAUUACAUAUUUUGAUAUGGCUCUCGUUAUUGUCUUUUAGCAAAACAGAAGCAAAAAGUGGUAAGUUGUGUUUCCUUUUUAAAUCUACUGUUAAGGUUCCUAUACAUACAUGCCCGCAAUGCUCCAUUUCAGUGACCCAAGUGGCUAUAAAAUAAGGGAAGAGCCUCCUCGGUGGGGACUUUGAUAAUCAUUUGUCGUUCAACCUGAGAAUUAUGAAUGUUGUGGCUGUGGAGAGGCAUGCUCAACCUCACCUUGUCAUGCAUGUUGAAUCAUCUUUUUCAGACGGAGCACAUUCCUCCUUAUGAUGUUGUGCCGUCAAUGCGUCCGGUGGUGUUAGUGGGGCCGUCACUGAAAGGUUACGAGGUACAAAUAUCAUCUGUUACUCUUCAGUUCUUGAUCGAGCACCCAGGAGACAGUCAUGUUGAUGCUUGCUCCUCAAGGGUCUGUUUCCACGUGGGUUCUGAUGGAAGCCAGUGCUCAGCAUGGGAAGGCAAUGGGUAUCGUGUGGGGCUCAUGAGGCCCUCUGCCCUUUCUUUCCUCUCUUGCACACUUCUCAUCUUUUAUGAAUUACAUUGUUUAGAAAUACCUCCCUCAAAAUAUUUACAAUGGGAAGAUCUGGUCAAAGAUUUGCUAUACAUUAAAUGCAAAGAAAAGGACUUUAUCUCUCUUGACCAUUCUCAUUAUUAUUAGAAGUAAUAGAGAAUGAACAGCACAAGAGGACAAACAAUCAAUCUUCCAGCAAACGCAAACCUUUAAAGCCCAGAGUUCACCCUGCUGGGUUUUUAAGAUGAUGGCAUAUGCCACCAAAUCCUUCUCUCCUUAUUUAUUUUAAAGGGCACAUGUUUUAAAAGACCACUAAAAACAUUAGUGAACUUUGGAGAUUAAACAAAACCAUGUGACAAGGAAAAGAGUAGAGACUUCGUUUCAGAUGUUUGUUUUGACUUUGUGCUAGCAUGGAUUAAAAAAUAGGUAGAUGUGACAUUAAACUCUGAAAGUGAGCAGCCUCCAGGGCACCAUUCCCGUCGAGCUAGGACAAUGUGUGGCACAUAGUAGGCACUCAGUACACAUUUGCUGAAUGAAUUAAUGAAUCUCUUUCAGGCAGAUCUAAGAAUCCUUGCUCUAUCCCCCUCUUUCUCUCUUGUCUUUCUCAGAGUUGGAAAUGUCAGAGGGAUGAGCAGGAGAGUGGUCUACAAAAAUCCAGCCAUGGGCAUGGAGAAUUUCUGCCAACAUACACAAACUAGCAGGAAGGCUGAGUCCAGUGCUGGCCUCAGUUCUCUAGCUGCUCCUCACUGAAGGCAGGCACAACUCAGGCGUGCCAAGGAUACCCAGCACCUGUGUACAAAGCCAGCCUGUUGUCUCCUGGCAGCAGUUCUAUCCCCUAACGAGGGAAGAGGGAAGAGGGUCUGGUGAACACUGCUGGUUUAUUCCUCAACACCCUGGAGGAGAACCAAGGGGGGUGGAAAUUAGCAAUUGCACAUGGUUAAGCAUGAAAAACACCUUCCAUGGUAACCUACCCCUAGGAGACGAAUGGCUGCAAUAAGGUCUUGGCUCAUAGUGCCCUUCCCUCCCUCCUCUCUCACUUUUGACUUCUCUCUCUCUCUCUCUGCGUGUGUUUGCCUCAUUCUUUUUUUCUCACCUCUGCAAAGGUAACAGACAUGAUGCAGAAAGCCCUCUUUGAUUUCCUGAAGCACAGGUUUGAUGGGAGGUGAGAAAUAUAGAUGUUUUUGUAUUUUUAUUUUCCUUUAACCAAACUUGUGUGAUAAAUUGAAUUGUAGAUCUGUGUUUCCAGAGAUUUCAGAAGUUCUCUAGUUAAAAGUUAACUCAGUAUUCUUGGGAAGAAUAUAAUAAAAGAACUCUGAAAAUAUGAAGUAUAACAUUGAGUCCCCAAUGAAGAAAGGACCAUGAGAAGAAAAAUAAACCAUUUGUUUUAUUUAAAUGUAUAUAUCUUUAUUUUCUCAGUUAUUAAUAAUUUCAUACCAAAAUGUUUUUUAUGAAAAAAUAUUAAUUAAAAUAUAUAAUAUUUCUGAUGAGUGUACUGGCUUGCUGGUGAAGCUAGCCAGUAUUUGGGAAUUGUGUGUGUGUGUGUGUGUCCUAUGAAAGUAUAAAUACCAAGUGCUGAAUUUCCUCAAAAGAAGAGAGAAUUCUUCUAAUCAUAAGCCUCCCAAAGUGAUUAUUUUAUAGGGAAUAGUACUUAUUUGGAUAUUUAUUAUAAUUGUGGGUUUGUUUUUAUUAGAAAAGCCCUUGUUAUUUUAUUGAUCUAUUUUUUAAUGUAUUUUACUAUGAUCCAUCAACAAUAUGGCUGAGGCAUUAGCCAUUAAAUAAUUUUAUCAUUUAAGUUUUGUGGAAAAAUCUAGAGAAAGUUUCUCUGUUUUGCAGAGAAAUGGUAAAAAGCCUGUAUUGACUCAAUUCUAAAUAUUAAGCUCUUUCACAAUGCAGAAGGCAGUCCAUGUAAAAAUAACCACAUGAAAAAACCUGAAGAUUUAUCAGAAAUGUAGAAAAUUUAAAUAGGGUGCAUCAAAAAGUAUGGGCAAAUGCAUCCAAUUUAUUACUGUAGGAUUGAAGAAGAACAUCACAUUAUUUUUGAAGGCAGUAAUUAAGCCACUCACUUUCUCUUUGCUAAAUUAUGAGAAUCUGCUAAAUGCAUGAAAUAAUUUUAAAAUGUAAAGAAAAACUUCAGAUGGGUUUUAAUAAAUUGGUAUAUUAAGAAAAACAAACAUGGUAUUGCUUUAAAUAUAAAUUGUAUGCAUUUGUUAAAAUAAAAGCUUUCUGGAUAAUUGGGUAAAAUAUUCAUUAGUUUCUAGAACUAUAUAGAAAGAAAGUAAACAGAUUUUAGUUUAAGAAAUAAGAAUGCUUCUAGGUACAUUAGUAUAUAGGUCAGGCUGCCUUAAUAAAUAGACCCCAAAAUGUGUAGCGAUUCAAACACAAUGGAAGCUUAUUAUUGCUCACUUAACAGUCUGAGGCAGGUGUUCCUUGGCUGGGAGGGAGGAUAGAGUUGGGGGAGGGGAGAAUUGGGCAGAAAGUUUGUUCCCUCUAUCAUUUGGGGCCCUUAGCCCAGGUAUGAUGUCUCUAGUCAGCUUGCCGGGCCUGGAGAUAGCGCAACUCACAUUUCACUGGUUAGAACUUGGUUAUGUGGUCAUACUUAAUUGCAGCGGAGGCACUCUUGCAGUCCAGGAGGAAGAGGAGAUAGAAUUUGUUGAACCAAUAAUAGCCUUCAUCACAUUCAUCUGCUGGACAAAGGCUUAAUAAGAAAGAUGUAUUUGUUCCAUUUCACUCUCUUUAAAAAAGAAAUAGGCAGAUAAUGAAGUAGCUUCAAGGAAAAUAAGUUAAAAGCCCUGAAUCCUGGAGAAUUGGAGUUGGAAGGAUACAUAAAAUGUCUUUUAGACUAAUCUCAUUUCUCCAACAACCACAAUCAGAUAGACAACCUGCUUCUGUUUGAAACUUUUGGUUAUUGGGAUUUCACUUCCUGAAAAAGCAUUGCAAAGAAGCAGCUGAACUCUGACUUUGUAGCUUAAUAGGGCUGGUCUUGAUCCUGCUGUCUGAUGCUCUGGCCUUAACCCUAACCCUCAUGCAGGUCCCUGUGGAUUGAAGGCAGCCAGCAUGCCUUGGUUGCACGCGCACAGUUCCUUCAGAUAUUCAUGGAGUCACAUGGUUUUAACCUGUGGAGCUGUUACCUAAGGCAGUUCUGGGCAGUGCCGAAUCCACUGGCCCCAUAACAGCCCUAAAUGAACAAAUCCCAUCCCAUAAGACAGUGUUAGAUUAUUUUGGUCUAUAACAUACUUAUACACAACAGUGCUGUUAAAGGUUUGCCUUCAAGAAUGAAGAAUCUGAUGUUCUUCCUCAAUCCUGAGGCCCAGAAAAAGGGAAUUUAUUUAAUUGUAACAGCAGAGAUUUGUCUUGAAUCAAGUAGAAUUGUCUGCAUCCGUUACUGUACACAUACUACUGAAGUUGGUUUUAAUAGAAAUUGAAUGCAGAUUUCAAUCUCAAGUAUUCGUGGGGUCUAAUGACAUGGCAGAGGGUCUGGAGGAAGAGCCCAGCAGUAGCAAAAGUAAUAGCUGAAGACAGAGACUUAGCCCUGGAGAAAUCUGAUGUAUUUCUCCAGCAGGAGAAAGACAGGUAGAUAUUAAAGGGGCGAGGGGUGAGAGAAUGGACUUGAUUUCAACUCUUAAGAGGCCAGGCAGCAGAAUGAACAAUAAGGAGUUCCUUGGUUGAGUGUAUGUGGAGACUUUGAUAAGAAAGAAGAAAUUCGCUGGUAGCGUCACACUGACUCUGACAUGUCUUCUUCGUGGGGAAUAUCGUUAGGUUUUGAGCUAUAAUAUCAUGCUGCAUUAUGUUUUACCAAUUGAUACAAGGAGAGAAAAAAACAAAUAGUCUUUAAUUGAAACCAGCCAAGAGAACAAUGACAAGGAAGGCUUUAGCACAGUGACAUGGCAUAAACAAUAUGUUCUAAUGGAAACCUACUCUGUGUUUCAUGGGCUAUGAAUGCAGUACGUUAGACAAAAUAGGAGAAAGUCCUAUUAUUUUUCAGAAAGUACAAAGAAGGGAUCUGUUGGCUACGAGGCUUUCUUCUUUAAUCUGCUUUUCAGAUCGUAGUAGAAAAUAAUUCAACAAAUUGGAUGAAAGUCCAACAGUUUGACUAUUGCAGAAUCAUAAACUUGGGAUUUUUUUGAUACCUUAGAAAUUAUUUGAGUCAGUUUAGAGCUACUUAUUAUACAAUUUUAUUGCUAUAGCUGCUAUUGUGGGGCCUAACUGUAAUACAUGUAAGAAAAACACAGUACUAGGCCGGGAGAAGUGGCUCAUGCCUGUAAUCCCAGCACUUUGGGAGGCUGAGGUGGGCGGAUCACCUGAGGUCAGGAGUUCAAGACCAGCCUGACCAACAUGGAGAAACCUCGUCUCUAAUAAAAAUACAAAAUUAGCCAGGUGUGGUGGUGCAUACCUGUAAUUCCAGUCACUCAGGAGGCU
RNAcentral lists this small RNA (8190 nucleotides) under Pongo abelii (Sumatran orangutan). Its description in RNAcentral is "retained intron". The record is from RNAcentral. Lineage: Eukaryota; Metazoa; Chordata; Mammalia; Primates; Hominidae.